RNAcentral lists this small RNA (28 nucleotides) under Bombyx mori (domestic silkworm). Its description in RNAcentral is "ovarian small RNA-1709". Lineage: Eukaryota; Metazoa; Arthropoda; Insecta; Lepidoptera; Bombycidae. The record is from RNAcentral.
CCACGAUAUGGGCAUCGACAGGCAUCGA